This 495-nucleotide ribosomal RNA is filed under the name uncultured bacterium. Its description in RNAcentral is "partial 16S ribosomal RNA". It matches the Rfam family "Bacterial small subunit ribosomal RNA", at positions 28 to 507 of the family's 1533-position model. The record is from RNAcentral.
GAUGAACGCUGGCGGCGUGCUUAACACAUGCAAGUCGAACGAAGCACCUCUCCCGAAGAUUGACACAGCUUGCUGUAGAUUGAUUCAUUUGAGGUGACUGAGUGGCGGACGGGUGAGUAACGCGUGGGUAACCUGCCUCAUAGAGGGGGACAACAGUUGGAAACGACUGCUAAUACCGCAUAGUAAGAAGAAUUCGCAUGUUUUCUUCUUGAAAGAUUUAUCGCUAUGAGAUGGACCCGCGUCUGAUUAGCUAGUUGGUAAGGUAACGGCUUACCAAGGCGACGAUCAGUAGCCGGCUUGAGAGAGUGAACGGCCACAUUGGGACUGAGACACGGCCCAAACUCCUACGGGAGGCAGCAGUGGGGAAUAUUGCACAAUGGGGGAAACCCUGAUGCAGCGACGCCGCGUGAGUGAAGAAGUAUUUCGGUAUGUAAAGCCCUAUCAGCAGGGAAGAUAAUGACGGUACCUGACUAAGAAGCCCCGGCUAACUACGUG